This 427-nucleotide ribosomal RNA is filed under the name uncultured bacterium. Its description in RNAcentral is "bacterial SSU rRNA". It matches the Rfam family "Bacterial small subunit ribosomal RNA", at positions 355 to 776 of the family's 1533-position model. The record is from RNAcentral.
UGGGGAAUUUUGGGCAAUGGGCGAAAGCCUGACCCAGCAACGCCGCGUGAGGGAUGAAAUCCUUCGGGAUGUAAACCUCGUAAGUUAGGGAAGAAUAAACUCUUACUAAUACUAAGAGAUAUGACGGUACCUAACGUAAGCCCCGGCUAACUCCGUGCCAGCAGCCGCGGUAAUACGGGGGGGGCAAGCGUUGUUCGGAAUUACUGGGCGUAAAGGGCGCGUAGGCGGCCUUGUCAAGUCGAGUGUGAAAUUCCAGAGCUUAACUCUGGACGGUCGCUCGAUACUGGCAGGCUAGAGUGUGGAAGAGGGUGCUGGAAUUCCUGGUGUAGCGGUGAAAUGCGUAGAUAUCAGGAGGAACACCGGUGGCGAAGGCGGGCACCUGGGCCAACACUGACGCUGAGGCGCGAAAGCUAGGGGAGCAAACAGG